Pelobates cultripes (western spadefoot toad) is the source of this 238-nucleotide non-coding RNA. The record is from the annotation of a GenBank genome assembly. Lineage: Eukaryota; Metazoa; Chordata; Amphibia; Anura; Pelobatidae.
CGGUCUAACAGGAAGUGCAUGUAGGCAGUGCAGAACUGCUUCCUGUUCAACCGGGGAGAGGUUCCUGAAGCUCAUCUUCCCUGGCCCAUGGCUCAGCCACACUACAAGGGAGGGAGGUGAGGAGACACAUGGGGGUGCAGAACAUAUGAAACACUUUGGGGGACUGGGGAACUGGGGGAAUGAGACACAUUGGGAUGGCUUAGGGAAUGAGACACAUUGGGGGCUGGGGGAAUGAGAU